UUCACUGAGUUCAUUAACUGAAGAAAGCGUGCGUGCGUAUAUGUGUGUUCUUGUAAUGUGGCACAAUUUAUACCGUUUUAUAUCCCUGAAUUAUAUUUUCUUCUCAAUUUUGCUGCUCUCUAUUUCUUUUUUUUUUUUUUUUUUUUUUUUUUUUUGCAAGUAGGUUCUGAAGACAUUGUGCUCAACAGUGGGAUUAUUUUUCUUUCCAUAGUAGAAAAGGUGGAAACAUCUCUUAACCUCUGUCUCUCUCUCUUAGGGUCAGAAGGAUGUGGUGGAUGCCAUUUGCCAGCAGUAGUGAUGACUUCCUUGGGCUCAUAGGACUGCGCACAGAACGCACUUCUAUUUCAACAUCACUAAGAUCAGUUUGGGCUUGGCCUGUACAACUACUGUUCUCCAGGAGAAACCAUAGUGCAGGGAUGAACUUCUGUGGACCAGAGGAAAGACUUGGCCUUUUGCAGAAGGAGCUGUGUGGUCGACCACCCAGACUUUGCAAGCCAGAAGCUGAUUGAGAACAAAGACUGUCAUGUCCCUGGAGGGUACCCUGGGUGGGAUUGCAAUGAUAACAACAAAAGAUUAUCUGUUCCAAGCCUCUCCUCCUUAAGUCUGCAGAAACACAAGCCAUUACUUCAGACUGAAAGAGUUUAUUUCAGCCAGAUUAUGUUACAAGGAGAUCCUCGAGUGAGUUCAUGCACAAGCAGCAGAAACCUGUCAUGUUUGAGAAAUGUUUUGUCAGUAUGACUGGCCUCUUCCCCUCAGCUGGGUACCUGGAGGCAGAAGGCAGCAUGGAUACUGGGGGAAAGCCUGGAAAUAUUAAUCAAAGCUGUAAUCUCCUGCAAAGAAUUGUACGCAGUGAUGCUGAAGACUGUUAACAUAGCACCUUAUUCUGAUAUCUUGUCUCUGGCUUUGGGGGGAAGGGAGGAAUGUAUAUGUGACCAGCUCAGUAAGUGACUUUCAAGAAAGUAGGCUGAGUGGUUUUCUUCUUGCAGAAGACCCACGUGAACUACAUGGCUUUUCCCAAAUUCACUGUAGGUUGCACUGCAAGAGCUUGAUGGGACCCAGAUUUGUGGAGUGAGGAUGGUAGGACUUGUUUUAGAUUGUCUUCAUCCUGUUACGCAGGGGUUAUUUGGUACAAAUGAAGGAGUGAAGCUUUCUUGUUUUUCUGCAUGUCAGAUCUCUGCCUCCUUCCCCUUCCUUUGUAGAGAUGUGGGGCAUUGACACUUCUCAGCAUCCUUGGAAAUGUUCUUAGUAAUCUUUUUCAUAAGAAAUCCAACACCACCAGUCAACCAGACUAUCACAGUAGUCAGUGUAACUGAAUAUUUCCUUCCAGAAACAGGCCUAUGGGGAAGCAAAAGGAUUGAACUUAUUUGUGCUGGGGUUGCUUGUCCUCCUUGCUUCAUGGGAUCGAGAGGCAAUUAGAAACUCUGAAAUUUCUGAUAUUCCCAUUGAGUGAGGAAAAUGAGCGUGGUACUAUACGUAGCUGAUCUGUCAACAAGCACUAUUGCUUAGCUU
This 1509-nucleotide long non-coding RNA is filed under the name Numida meleagris (helmeted guineafowl). RNAcentral describes it as "lncRNA (ENSNMEG00000019102.1)". Lineage: Eukaryota; Metazoa; Chordata; Aves; Galliformes; Numididae. The record is from RNAcentral.